Molecule: ribosomal RNA, 92 nt
Filed under: uncultured bacterium
Lineage: Bacteria
Description: partial 16S ribosomal RNA
Rfam family: Bacterial small subunit ribosomal RNA
Source: RNAcentral
CUUACCAAGGCGACGAUCAGUAGCUGGUCUGAGAGGAUGAUCAGCCACAUUGGGACUGAGACACGGCCCAGACUCCUACGGGAGGCAGCAUG